CGGACGGGUGAGUAACACGUGGAUAACCUACCUAUAAGACUGGGAUAACUUCGGGAAACCGGAGCUAAUACCGGAUAAUAUAUUGAACCGCAUGGUUCAAUAGUGAAAGACGGUUUUGCUGUCACUUAUAGAUGGAUCCGCGCCGCAUUAGCAGUUGGUAAGGUAACGGCUUACCAAGGCAACGAUGCGUAGCCGACCUGAGAGGGUGAUCGGCCACACUGGAACUGAGACACGGUCCAG
RNAcentral lists this ribosomal RNA (240 nucleotides) under uncultured Staphylococcus sp. RNAcentral's name for it is "partial 16S ribosomal RNA". It matches the Rfam family "Bacterial small subunit ribosomal RNA", at positions 99 to 334 of the family's 1533-position model. The record is from RNAcentral. Lineage: Bacteria; Bacillati; Bacillota; Bacilli; Caryophanales; Staphylococcaceae.